GGGGUCCUAGUAAACAAAUUACAUAGCUCUGUCAGUGCUAAAUUAUAGGACCACACACCUAUGAACCCCA
RNAcentral lists this transfer RNA (70 nucleotides) under Phoenicolacerta kulzeri (common Eurasian lizard). RNAcentral's name for it is "tRNA-Asp". The record is from RNAcentral. Lineage: Eukaryota; Metazoa; Chordata; Lepidosauria; Squamata; Lacertidae.